RNAcentral lists this long non-coding RNA (201 nucleotides) under Elaeis guineensis (African oil palm). Its description in RNAcentral is "long non-coding RNA (EGUI_LNC019650)". The record is from RNAcentral. Lineage: Eukaryota; Viridiplantae; Streptophyta; Magnoliopsida; Arecales; Arecaceae.
UGUAUUAAUCCAAGUUCCCAAUUAGGUUAGUUCAAAUAAAUUUGAGCUAGUCUUGACCUAUUGCCUUUGAUCUAAUUAGACUAGGUAUAAUUUAUUUGAUUUAUUUUCUCAUCUUGGAAGUGUUUCAGAUGGAAAAAGAGUCCUCCAAGCCAUCAGGUCCAUGCCAUUUAUUUAUUACUGCCCCAUAUUUAUUGACACCUA